CGUGUAGGCGGAUACGCAAGUCGGUUGUGAAAUCCCUGGGCUCAACCUAGGAACUGCAUCCGAAACUGUGUGUCUUGAGUAAUGGAGAGGGUGGCGGAAUUCCCGGUGUAGAGGUGAAAUUCGUAGAUAUCGGGAGGAACAUCUGUGGCGAAGGCGGCCACCUGGACAUUUACUGACGCUGAGACGCGAAAGCGUGGGGAGCAAACA
This 207-nucleotide ribosomal RNA is filed under the name uncultured bacterium. RNAcentral describes it as "partial 16S ribosomal RNA". It matches the Rfam family "Bacterial small subunit ribosomal RNA", at positions 568 to 774 of the family's 1533-position model. The record is from RNAcentral.